UACGGGGGGGGCAAGCGUUGUUCGGAAUUACUGGGCGUAAAGGGUUUGUAGGUGGCCGGCUAAGUCAGACGUGAAAUCCCUCAGCUUAACCGGGGAACUGCGUCUGAAACUGAUCGGCUCGAGUGCAGGAGAGGAACGCGGAAUUCCAGGUGUAGCGGUGAAAUGCGUAGAUAUCUGGAGGAACACCGGUGGCGAAGGCGGCGUUCUGGACUGCAACUGACACUGUAAAACGAAAGCCAGGGGAGCAAACGGG
RNAcentral lists this ribosomal RNA (253 nucleotides) under uncultured bacterium. RNAcentral describes it as "partial 16S ribosomal RNA". It matches the Rfam family "Bacterial small subunit ribosomal RNA", at positions 524 to 776 of the family's 1533-position model. The record is from RNAcentral.